This 964-nucleotide non-coding RNA is filed under the name Pan troglodytes (chimpanzee). Lineage: Eukaryota; Metazoa; Chordata; Mammalia; Primates; Hominidae. The record is from RNAcentral.
UGCCUGGCCAUGGAACACUCUAGCGGAGGAGAGCAAAGUCCUCCCCAAACCAAGGCCACAAUAACUAGCACGGUGCUCUGCACAUCAUAUGCACUCAGCACUUGUGAAAGUGAGUUGAAUCAGAAACAAAACGAGGAGCAGAGGUCAAGUCCUGCAAAAGAUAAACCGUGCUAUCUCCGUGACAACAAGCCCAAGUUAGCCUGCUAGAGGAUGAAACACUUUGCGGAAGAGAACCAAAGUUGCCCAGUCCACAGCCAACUCACUCUCAACAGCAGAGCUGUCUGGUCACCAGCAGCUGACCCCCUUCUCCCAUACACACACAUGAAGAUUGCUAUACCUUAUAAAGGUACGGCAGGUUUUAUAGGUAUAGCAAUUAAUUUAUGGCAGGAGCCUGCCAUAAAUUGCUGACUUGCUCAAUCAUGAGCUAAAUAAGUUUUGGGAUGGCUCAUUACACAGUAACAGCUAACUAACACACCCAGAGCUGACAGGACGCCAGGAUUAACAACAUGCUGACUACAAGUUAGCUGGCACACUAUAGGGACCGUCUAGGUACUGAAUUCCUUUUCCCCUUAUCAGAAGUUGGGUCCCUUGAAUUAUAAAGAAAUGCAUGUAGACAUGUAUGUGCUUAAAACUCACACAGUAUCACACAACACAGGAGGAAACAGAUGACAGCCUGACCACUAGGGCAAAGGCCAAAUAGCAAGGUAAGGCAUUUGUCUGGAAUCUAUUCCCUCCAAAUCUAAACUCUGGAGGUCAAGGCUGUGGACAGGACCCACCUCCUGGGACCCCGCUGUCCUCUGAUCUCUGGAGGGGAGUAUGGCCCCACCAAGCAGCAGAUGGGCAGCAGUGGCCUACCUGUGGCCACCUCCUGCUGGCAGCCCCUGCUCUCUCAGGGCACUCUCUCUUCCUUUGGGACUGAGAAGAGAUGUGGGUAGGGAGGGGGAGCUCCCUCCUUCCUGGCAGA